UAAAAUAGCCAUAUCACCCUGCAGUCCAAGACCAGUCUCUGAAGAUAAGCAGGACUGAGCCUGGUCAGUGUCUGGACGGUAGAUAACAUGGAAAAACUAGGUUGCUGUUGGAA
Molecule: ribosomal RNA, 113 nt
Filed under: Danio rerio (zebrafish)
Lineage: Eukaryota; Metazoa; Chordata; Actinopteri; Cypriniformes; Danionidae
Source: RNAcentral